GAUGAACGCUGGCGGCGUGCCUAAUACAUGCAAGUCGAGCGAACAGACGAGGAGCUUGCUCCUCUGACGUUAGCGGCGGACGGGUGAGUAACACGUGGAUAACCUACCUAUAAGACUGGGAUAACUUCGGGAAACCGGAGCUAAUACCGGAUAAUAUAUUGAACCGCAUGGUUCAAUAGUGAAAGACGGUUUUGCUGUCACUUAUAGAUGGAUCCGCGCCGCAUUAGCUAGUUGGUAAGGUAACGGCUUACCAAGGCAACGAUGCGUAGCCGACCUGAGAGGGUGAUCGGCCACCCUGGAACUGAACCACGGUCCAGACUCCUACGGGAGGCAGCAGUAGGGAAUCUUACGCAAUGGGCGAAAGCCUGACGGAGCAACGCCGCGUGAGUGAUGAAGGUCUUCGGAUCGGAAAACUCUGUUAUUAGGGAAGAACAAAUGUGUAAGUAACUAUGCACGUCUUGACGGUACCUAAUCAGAAAGCCACGGCUAACUACGUG
This 497-nucleotide ribosomal RNA is filed under the name uncultured bacterium. RNAcentral describes it as "partial 16S ribosomal RNA". It matches the Rfam family "Bacterial small subunit ribosomal RNA", at positions 28 to 507 of the family's 1533-position model. The record is from RNAcentral.